This 497-nucleotide ribosomal RNA is filed under the name uncultured bacterium. RNAcentral's name for it is "bacterial SSU rRNA". It matches the Rfam family "Bacterial small subunit ribosomal RNA", at positions 29 to 518 of the family's 1533-position model. The record is from RNAcentral.
AUGAACGCUAGCGACAGGCUUAACACAUGCAAGUCGAGGGGUAACAGGGUAGCAAUACCGCUGACGACCGGCGCACGGGUGAGUAACGCGUAUGCAACCUGCCUAUAACUGGGGAAUAGCUCCCUGAAAGGGGGAAUUAACACCGCAUAACACUAUUGAUUCGCAUGGAUUAGUAGUUAAAUGUAGCGAUACAGGUUAUAGAUGGGCAUGCGUGACAUUAGCUAGUUGGUGAGGUAACGGCUCACCAAGGCCACGAUGUCUAGGGGUUCUGAGAGGAAGGUCCCCCACACUGGUACUGAGACACGGACCAGACUCCUACGGGAGGCAGCAGUGAGGAAUAUUGGUCAAUGGGCGCAAGCCUGAACCAGCCAUGUCGCGUGCAGGAAGACUGCCCUAUGGGUUGUAAACUGCUUUUAUAGUAGAAGAAACACAUCUACGCGUAGAUGUCUGCCAGUAUACUAUGAAUAAGCAUCGGCUAACUCCGUGCCAGCAGCCGC